GAUGAACGCUGGCGGCGUGCCUAAUACAUGCAAGUCGAGCGAACAGACGAGGAUCUUGCUCCUCUGACGUUACCGGCGGACGGGUGAGUAACACGUGGAUAACCUACCUAUAAGACUGGGAUCACUUCGGGAAACCGGAGCUAAUACCGGAUAAUAUAUUGAACCGCAUGGUUCAAUAGUGAAAGACGGUUUUGCUGUGACUUCUAGAUGUAUCCGCGCGGCAUUAGCUAGUUGGUAAGGUAACGGCUUACCAAGGCAACGAUGCGUAGGCGACCUGAGAGGGUGGUCGGCCACACUGGAACUGAGACACGGUCCAGACUCCGACGGGAGGCAGCAGUAGGGAAUCUUCCGCAAUGGGCGAAAGCCUGACGGAGCAACGCCGCGUGAGUGAUGAAGGUCUUCGGAUCGUAAAACUCUGUUAUUAGGGAAGAACAAAUGUGUAAGUAACUAUGCACGUCGUGACGGUACCUGAACAGAAAGCCACGGCUAACUACGUG
This 497-nucleotide ribosomal RNA is filed under the name uncultured bacterium. Its description in RNAcentral is "partial 16S ribosomal RNA". It matches the Rfam family "Bacterial small subunit ribosomal RNA", at positions 28 to 507 of the family's 1533-position model. The record is from RNAcentral.